UCAACGUGGACAUCCCAUGGGGUUGCUCUCAUGGGCUCUGUCCUAGUGGCAUAUGGGAGCGUAGUGUUUUUUAGUGCAAUGACGUACAGUCCCCUUCCAUGACGUUGAAGAACAUGAUUUGUCCCCAGCCCAUGGGCUGUUGUGGGCAGCAUCCUGUAUAUUCCUACAACUUCCCAGAGCCUUUUGGUAAUGACUGGGAAGAUAAACCAUGCAGGAUACAUUU
Small nucleolar RNA from Bombina bombina (fire-bellied toad), 223 nucleotides. RefSeq annotates it as small nucleolar RNA SNORA73 family. NCBI's taxonomy places the organism in Eukaryota, Metazoa, Chordata, Amphibia, Anura, Bombinatoridae. The transcript has a single exon. The record is from RefSeq and is a predicted model, not a curated record.